GACGAACGCUGGCGGCGUGCCUAACACAUGCAAGUCGAGCGGAGACAGUGAGUAGCUUGCUAUGGACUGUUUUAGCGGCGGACGGGUGAGUAACGCGUGAGCAACCUUUCCCAGACAGGGGAAUAACACACCGAAAGGUGUACUAAUACCGCAUAAGACCACGGGAUCACAUGGUUCCGGGGUAAAAGAUUUAUCGGUUUGGGGUGGGCUCGCGUCCGAUUAGGUAGUUGGUGAGGUAACGGCCCACCAAGCCGACGAUCGGUAGCCGACCUGAGAGGGUGAUCGGCCACAUUGGGACUGAGACACGGCCCAAACUCCUACGGGAGGCAGCAGUGGGGAAUAUUGGGCAAUGGGGGGAACCCUGACCCAGCAACGCCGCGUGGAGGAAGAAGGUUUUCGGAUCGUAAACUCCUG
This 414-nucleotide ribosomal RNA is filed under the name uncultured bacterium. Its description in RNAcentral is "bacterial SSU rRNA". It matches the Rfam family "Bacterial small subunit ribosomal RNA", at positions 28 to 435 of the family's 1533-position model. The record is from RNAcentral.